This 209-nucleotide long non-coding RNA is filed under the name Elaeis guineensis (African oil palm). RNAcentral's name for it is "long non-coding RNA (EGUI_LNC033153)". The record is from RNAcentral. Lineage: Eukaryota; Viridiplantae; Streptophyta; Magnoliopsida; Arecales; Arecaceae.
AGAGGUACCGAAGGACUCAUUCAAUAUUUGAAUGAUCUCUUCUAGCUGUGCAUCCUCGAACUAAUGGCUAAGUUUGUCGUUCAUAGCUGCCCUCAUCAUGCAAUGCACAGUCGUGCGAUCAUUGAGCCACUUUAUGUAAAUAUCUCUCACAGCAUGAGGAGCAUUGGUUGUAGGUUUUUCAGGUGCCUCAUCUGUAAGGACAUAUAAAA